RNAcentral lists this ribosomal RNA (437 nucleotides) under uncultured bacterium. RNAcentral's name for it is "partial 16S ribosomal RNA". It matches the Rfam family "Bacterial small subunit ribosomal RNA", at positions 30 to 507 of the family's 1533-position model. The record is from RNAcentral.
AGCGAACGCUGGCGGCAUGCUUAACACAUGCAAGUCGCGCGGGUGGUUUCGGCCAUCAGCGGCGGACGGGUGAGUAUCUCGUAGGAAUGUAUCCCGAGGUGGGGGACAACCCUGGGAAACUGGGGCUAAUACCGCAUGGGGCCUGUGGGUCAAAGCCUUAGGUCGCCUUGGGAGCAGCCUUCGUCCGAUUAGGUGGUUGGUGGGGUAAAGGCCUACCAAGCCUGCUAUCGGUAUCUGGUCUGAGAGAACGAUCAGCCACACUGGGACUGUGACACGGCCCAAACUCUCAGAAGAGGAAGCUGAGGAGAAUGAUGGAGAGUGGGCGGAAGCCCGAAAAAGCGAUGUCGAGUGGGGGAAGAAUGCCUUCGGAUUGUAAAGCCCUAUCGGCGGCGACGAUAAUGACAGUAAUAGCAGAAGAAAGCCCGGGGAAGAGAGUG